GACCCGUCUUGAAACACGGACCAAGAAGUUUAGCAAUUGCGCGAGUCAAUGGGUUGCAACACCUAAUGGCGAAAUGAAAGUGAAGGUCGACUUGUCGGCUGACAUGUGAUCUGUGGCUUCGGCUGCGGCGCAACAUGGCCCCAUGCUAAUUGCUUGCAAUGGUGUGGAGGUAGAGCGUAAUUGCUGAGACCCGAAAGAUGGUGAACUAUGCCUGAGCAGGAUGAAGCCAGAGGAAACUCUGGUGGAAGUCCGAAGCGGUUCUGACGUGCAAAUCGAUCGUCUGACUUGGGUAUAGGGGCGAAAGACUAAUCGAACCAUCUAGUAGCUGGUUCCCUCCGAAGUUUCCCCCAGGAUAGCUGGAGUGCGCGAAUGUUAUAUUCGGUAAAGCGAAUGAUUAGAGGAAUUGGGGACGAAAUGUUCUCAACCUAUUCUCAAACUUUCAAUGGGUAUGAAGUUGCGGUUUCUUAAUUGAACUGCGACAGUGAAAGAGCGCUCCAAGUGGGCCAUUUUUGGUAAGCAGAACUGGCGAUGCGGGAUGAACCGAACGUUGAGUUAAGGUGCCUAACUCUCCGCUCAUGAGACCCCACAAAAGGUGUUAAUUGAUAUAGACAGCAGGUCGGUGGCCAUGGAAGUCGGAAUCCGCUAAGGAGUGUGU
RNAcentral lists this ribosomal RNA (655 nucleotides) under Nematoda environmental sample. Its description in RNAcentral is "LSU rRNA". It matches the Rfam family "Eukaryotic large subunit ribosomal RNA", at positions 646 to 1283 of the family's 3401-position model. Lineage: Eukaryota; Metazoa; Nematoda. The record is from RNAcentral.